This 422-nucleotide ribosomal RNA is filed under the name uncultured bacterium. RNAcentral describes it as "bacterial SSU rRNA". It matches the Rfam family "Bacterial small subunit ribosomal RNA", at positions 355 to 774 of the family's 1533-position model. The record is from RNAcentral.
UGGGGAAUAUUGGUCAAUGGACGCAAGUCUGAACCAGCCAUGCCGCGUGGAGGAUGAAGGUCCUCUGGAUUGUAAACUUCUUUUAUCUGGGACGAAGCACUUCUUUUCUAAGAGGCCUGACGGUACCAGAUGAAUAAGCACCGGCUAACUCCGUGCCAGCAGCCGCGGUAAUACGGAGGGUGCAAGCGUUAUCCGGAUUCACUGGGUUUAAAGGGUGCGUAGGUGGGUAUGUAAGUCAGUGGUGAAAUCCCCGAGCUUAACUUGGGAACUGCCAUUGAUACUAUAUAUCUUGAAUACCGUAGAGGGAAGCGGAAUAUGUCAUGUAGCGGUGAAAUGCUUAGAUAUGACAUGGAACACCAAUUGCGAAGGCAGCUUACUAUGCGGUGAUUGACACUGAGGCACGAAAGCGUGGGUAGCAAACA